Erinaceus europaeus (western European hedgehog) is the source of this 1133-nucleotide long non-coding RNA. RefSeq lists it as uncharacterized. The record is from RefSeq and is a predicted model, not a curated record. NCBI's taxonomy places the organism in Eukaryota, Metazoa, Chordata, Mammalia, Eulipotyphla, Erinaceidae. The transcript is spliced from 4 exons.
CCUGGGUAGCUUUUGCUCAGUGCUCAGCAGUGGAGACAGAAGCCACCCUGCUGAAUUCACACAGAAUUGAUUUUUUAACCAGAGUAAAUUUACCAGAGGGAGCAAGCCGAGGUGGUUUGAAAAAAAUCCGUUGUGGGACACCUUGUUCUGGAGAUAAUGAUAAUGAAGAUGAGAGAAGACCACAGGCCGAACAAAGGAAGAAUGUUGUGGAGAAAGGGAAUGCCAGAUGCUUUAGGAAAAUGAGGCCCAGCACAAAAAAAAGCUCAGAAGAGACAAAGACAAUCAAGUUAUGGGCAGGACACAGAGGCUCAGACAAAAGGCAAGAUGACUGACUGACUCACCGGAAGGAAGGAGGGAAACAUGGCUCACAAUAACCUUUGAAAGACGCGGCUUGGAGACUCACUAGCCGGGCAUAAACAGGAAAAGGGUUUGAAAGAUGAGUCUGGAUGCUCAGGGCUUGCCAUCUGCAGGUGAGGCUGAGAUAAAACUUUGGCUCUGAGAGAGGGGCAGACUGUAGCUGUGGUCACCUGGGCUCAGCUUUCUCUAGAAGUGGCUUCCAAGAGAGAAUACACGAUAAAAAAAAAACACACCAAGAAAGCCAUGUCAUCAGACUCACUCGUCCUCACUUCUUAGCCGGGAUGCUUUUCCCGUACAUCGCAGACAUCCCGGGGAGGUAGAGGGGAGUCGGGUGGGCAUUGUCAGUGGGGGAGAGUGGGACCUUAGCAGGCAACAAGUUGUCUUCCUUUGCAGAGCACCAAGUCUCUAGGGCUUAGCCGUGUGCUUUUGCAAACAGAAGCACACCCAGGGCCACUGCUGAGCUGGGCCUUGGUCAGUCAGUCCAUCAGGAUGUUGCCCCUUGAAAACAGGGCCGGGGGAUGACUUGUGGACAGGGAUGAUCUUCAUCCUUGGAGAUGUGGCUCUCAAAACGUUAGGGGCCAGCCCCUCAGGGUGCAUGCUCUCUGCACCAUAGGGAGUGCUCUGAUUCAUCAUCAGGGAGUUGCCACACUAUCAUUUUUAAAUUGAUAUAUAUAAUGAAUAUUUUAUUUACUCAUUAUUGGAUAGAGACAAAGAGAAAUUGAUAGGAGGAGAUAGAAAGGGAGAGAGAUAGACAGACAUCCACAGCCCUGCUUCAC